AGUGAACGCUGGCGGUAGGCCUAACACAUGCAAGUCGAACGGCAGCACAGUAAGAGCUUGCUCUUACGGGUGGCGAGUGGCGGACGGGUGGGGAAUACAUCGGAAUCUACUUUUUCGUGGGGGAUAACGUAGGGAAACUUACGCUAAUACCGCAUACGACCUACGGGUGAAAGCAGGGGAUCUUCGGACCUUGCGCGAUUGAAUGAGCCGAUGUCGGAUUAGCUAGUUGGCGGGGUAAAGGCCCACCAAGGCGACGAUCCGUAGCUGGUCUGAGAGGAUGAUCAGCCACACUGGAACUGAGACACGGUCCAGACUCCUACGGGAGGCAGCAGUGGGGAAUAUUGCACAAUGGGCGCAAGCCUGAUCCAGCCAUACCGCGUGGGUGAAGAAGGCCUUCGGGUUGUAAAGCCCUUUUGUUGGGAAAGAAAAGCAGCAGGUUAAUACCCCGCUGUUCUGACGGUACCCAAAGAAUAAGCACCGGCUAACUUCGUG
Molecule: ribosomal RNA, 492 nt
Filed under: uncultured bacterium
Lineage: Bacteria
Description: partial 16S ribosomal RNA
Rfam family: Bacterial small subunit ribosomal RNA
Source: RNAcentral